AUCUUUGCGCAUGAGGCAAUAUCACAACCAAUACAGUUCUACUCAGGUGGCGAUUAUUUCUAAUUGAAAACUUUAACCAAUUCACGCCAUGAGGACAUGAAAUGUCGUCCGCUACGGCAAAAUAAUAACUUAAUAAUU
Molecule: small nuclear RNA, 138 nt
Organism: Drosophila obscura
Lineage: Eukaryota; Metazoa; Arthropoda; Insecta; Diptera; Drosophilidae
Product: U4 spliceosomal RNA
Exons: 1
Source: RefSeq, a predicted model, not a curated record